GCAGAAGCUCGUUGCUUUGGGCGCCUAGCUGUUAAUUAGAGUUGUCGUGGGAUCAAAGCCCACCUGCCUAG
Molecule: transfer RNA, 71 nt
Filed under: Zanda latirostris (slender-billed black-cockatoo)
Lineage: Eukaryota; Metazoa; Chordata; Aves; Psittaciformes; Cacatuidae
Also listed under: 1 other name
Description: Calyptorhynchus latirostris (slender-billed black-cockatoo) tRNA-Asn
Source: RNAcentral